This 589-nucleotide long non-coding RNA is filed under the name Fukomys damarensis (Damara mole-rat). RNAcentral describes it as "lncRNA (ENSFDAG00000030770.1)". The record is from RNAcentral. Lineage: Eukaryota; Metazoa; Chordata; Mammalia; Rodentia; Bathyergidae.
AGGUGGGGUUUUGGGGUGCAGUAAGCAUUGCCUUCUAGAACCUACCCUUCCCAGGACGUCUCUUGGCAACCAAAUGGGCUUGUUUUCAAGAGUGUCUGGUCCCUGGAGCUUCUUUCUCCUGUCCCUGAGCUGUUAGGGGUGGAGCUAGUCCCUCUGGCUUUGGUCUAGAAAACCUUUCUGCAAAAAAGUAGUUAAUGAAUUGGAACACAGAAUCUCACUGUCCCUUCUUGAAAUGGGGCUUCUGUCUGUCGGGACAGACAGAAAGGAAUUGCAAAUGCAGGAUUAGGUACCCUGACACUAAUGCAAUUCUCAUUUGCUAUCAGUUUACUCCAUGGUCUACAAAAUGCUAUUAAAAAUGGAUGCAGGAUGUGAGAUAAAACAUAUCAAAUCCAAGAUGAUUCACAAGAGCACUCACUUGUCUGGUCCUUUGGCUCCAGUGGCCGUAAACCAGGAGAGACACAGCCCAGGGUGCCAGGGAACUACGUGGCUGCAGUCAGUUCAAACUGGAUCCCGCAGUGGUUAUGGCAUGCACAGAGAGGUGAGCUUGUGGUUACAAAAUGACCAGUGGCGGCUGGGCAUAAUGGUGCAC